Non-coding RNA from Pelobates cultripes (western spadefoot toad), 265 nucleotides. Lineage: Eukaryota; Metazoa; Chordata; Amphibia; Anura; Pelobatidae. The record is from the annotation of a GenBank genome assembly.
CCUCUGCCAGUCUUUACAUUGGCUCCCUAUAUGCUAUAGGAGUCAAUUCAAAGUGCUAACCCAUACAUUUAAAGCACUGAACAAUUCUAGCCCCACUUAUAUCUCUUCACUAAUCCAUAGAUAUGCCCCUCCUCGUACCCUCCGCUCUGCCCGUGACCACCUCCUGACUGCUGCUCGCACCCGUACGGCCAACUCGCGCUUGCAGGACCUCUCGCGGGCGGCUCCUCUCCUAUGGAAUAGCUUGCCUACUGCCAUCAGACUCUCC